This is a long non-coding RNA of Oreochromis niloticus (Nile tilapia), 248 nucleotides long. RefSeq lists it as uncharacterized. The record is from RefSeq and is a predicted model, not a curated record. The transcript has 3 exons. Lineage: Eukaryota; Metazoa; Chordata; Actinopteri; Cichliformes; Cichlidae.
GUCCGCUCAUUCUCCCACGCGUGUCAUUUCAUUAAAAUCAUCGUCUUUACCCUUUGGACCAGUGUGGUUACUUGCAUUCCUCCUGUGUUUCCUUCCCUAUAUUUUUGAACCUUAACAUUUGGGGGCUUCGUCCGAGGGGGGAAGUGAGACAGGAUGGAGAAAGGUCCGAGGCGUCAGGCGCUCAGGCAUUGGUCAGUGGUCAAAGUGAGUGACAAGCCGGCAUAUAACAAAAGGAAUUUUGUUUGCAA